RNAcentral lists this small nucleolar RNA (190 nucleotides) under Torulaspora delbrueckii CBS 1146. RNAcentral describes it as "Small nucleolar RNA snR11". It matches the Rfam family "Small nucleolar RNA snR11". Lineage: Eukaryota; Fungi; Ascomycota; Saccharomycetes; Saccharomycetales; Saccharomycetaceae. The record is from Rfam by way of RNAcentral.
AACAAUGUCUUAUAGACGCCCAGAGUCACGGUUCGCCUGGUUACUUGUAACCAGUGGGCGUAUACUUUGUACAGCGGUGGCAACACCGCUGCCGUGCUCGCGGCUGAUCUUAGAUUAAUUUGGGUUAGGGAUUCCCUUCCGUGUGAUUUCACCCCAAGUGAUGCACACCAGGUAUCUCGCACCUACAUAU